RNAcentral lists this ribosomal RNA (466 nucleotides) under uncultured bacterium. RNAcentral's name for it is "partial 16S ribosomal RNA". It matches the Rfam family "Bacterial small subunit ribosomal RNA", at positions 28 to 507 of the family's 1533-position model. The record is from RNAcentral.
GAUGAACGCUGGCGGCGUGCUUAACACAUGCAAGUCGAACGAUGAAGCCCAGCUUGCUGGGUGGAUUAGUGGCGAACGAGUGAGUAACACGUGAGUAACCUGCCCUUAACUCUGGGAUAAGCCUGGGAAACUGGGUCUAAUACCGGAUAGGAGCGUCCACCGCAUGGUGGGUGUUGGAAAGAUUUAUCGGUUUUGGAUGGACUCGCGGCCUAUCAGCUUGUUGGUGAGGUAAUGGCUCACCAAGGCGACGACGGGUAGCCGGCCUGAGAGGGUGACCGGCCACACUGGGACUGAGACACGGCCCAGACUCCUACGGGAGGCAGCAGUGGGGAAUAUUGCACAAUGGGCGCAAGCCUGAUGCAGCGACGCCGCGUGAGGGAUGACGGCCUUCGGGUUGUAAACCUCUUUCAGUAGGGAAGAAGCGAAAGUGACGGUACCUGCAGAAGAAGCACCGGCUAACUACGUG